Molecule: unclassified non-coding RNA, 249 nt
Filed under: plant metagenome
Description: partial contains small subunit ribosomal RNA, internal transcribed spacer 1, and 5.8S ribosomal RNA
Rfam family: 5.8S ribosomal RNA (bases 201-249)
Source: RNAcentral
UCUCCGUAGGUGAACCUGCGGAGGGAUCAUUACAGAGUUCAUGCCCUACCGGGUAGAUCUCCCACCCUAUGUUAUUAUUACUUUGUUGCUUUGGCGGGCCGUUAGGCUCCGGCCCGACUACCGGCCCCGGCUGGUAAGCGCCCGCCAGAGGACCCAAAACCCUGAAUAUUAGUGUCGUCUGAGUACUAUAUAAUAGUUAAAACUUUCAACAACGGAUCUCUUGGUUCUGGCAUCGAUAAAGAACGCAGC